UUGGAGGGCAAGUCUGGUGCCAGCAGCCGCGGUAAUUCCAGCUCCAAUAGCGUAUAUUAAAGUUGUUGCAGUUAAAAAGCUCGUAGUUGAACUUCGGGGUCUACCCAUUGGUCAGGCUUAAUUGUCUGCACUGGUGAGAUGGAUCUCUACCUUCUGAGGAACUUUCAUGCCAUUUAUUUGGUGUGAUGGGAAACCAGGACUGUUACUUUGAAAAAAUUAGAGUGUUUAAAGCAGACUAUCGUCUGAAUACAUUAGCAUGGAAUAAUGAAAUAGGACGGACUGAUUCUAUUUCGUUGGUUUCUAGGAUCACCGUAAUGAUUAAUAGGGAUAGUUGGGGGCAUUAGUAUUCAAUUGUCAGAGGUGAAAUUCUUGGAUUUAUUGAAGACUAACUACUGCGAAAGCAUUUGCCAAGGAUGUUUUCAUUAAUCAAGAACGAAAGUUAGGGGAUCGAAGACGAUCAGAUACCGUCGUAGUCUUAACCAUAAACUAUGCCGACUAGGGAUCGGACGAAGUUAAUUUUAUAAUGACGCGUUCGGCACCUUACGGGAAAC
This 551-nucleotide ribosomal RNA is filed under the name uncultured Glomeromycotina. RNAcentral describes it as "SSU rRNA". It matches the Rfam family "Eukaryotic small subunit ribosomal RNA", at positions 548 to 1098 of the family's 1831-position model. Lineage: Eukaryota; Fungi; Glomeromycota. The record is from RNAcentral.